UUUUAGUUCAGUCUAGUUCAAAUUAUUAAAUCUGACAUUGCCUUGAAAUAAUCAAAAGUACUGUUAACUUUCCAUCACAACAACCUACAACAACCAAUAAAUAAUAAGCUUGGACAACAAAUAAUUACAACAAAAAUAGAAAUUUCUACCCAUCUCUCUCACUGUCCCUUCCCUCUGUACAAUAAUGGCACCAUCACACAAAUAAUGGCAGCAUCAGUACAAAGCAAAGACCAACAAAACAUGUAUUGUCAUGUACAAAUUGCAGCCACAAUGAGCGUGUAUAUCCUCCAACCUCGACCUAACCAAAGCUCCCUCCCUCCCUAUCUUGAUCUCAGUCUGGAAAAACGGGUGAGAAAGGAGCUAUUUACCUGAGAAAAAAAAGACAAUUCCCUAGUACAUUAAAAGAAGAUAUUGUGGCAAUACAUGAGUUUAUGAGAACCUCAUAUAGUCAUGCGAAAACCUCAAAGCCAAGUGAUCUGCCAAAAUUAGGUGUGCCAUUAUGCUUGAAAAACUGAACAAUCCACUUUCUGUCGUUCCUUACCUACUAUUUUGCAAACUGAUGGGUGCGUUCUGGCUGUAAUAAACAGAUUUAUGGGUUCGUUAAUGAAAUCGAGGGAAACCCCCUUUCUUUCAAAAAAAUUUGCAAACUGAAAAUAAUGGGGCGGGCACAAGUGUACGCCAAAGGGGAUCAUAAACCAAAAUAUGUUUAGUAAAUCACAUGUGCAAUUAGAAGUAUCAUUUCGGGCACUUAGAAGUAUCAUUUUUCUCAUGUGCAAUUGAGGUAGCUGAAGUGUUGAACUCAAUAUCUGCAUGACAAUUGAUACUUGGCUGCAAAUCUCUUGUUAUGGGACAUACUAUGGGUAAUGAAUUCUAAUGAUAUUAGGCAUGGUUUAAAGCAGUAAAUAGAAAUAUCCAUACAUGAUUAUGGAAAAUACAUGAAAUAUAACAACUAUGAGUCUGCAACAACACCAGCAUGCUUGUCUUCGAUCAAUGUGCAAGAACAGCAUACGUUUCUAUGAACAACAUGCACAAUAUCACUUAAAUCAAACCUAUUUACAUCAUGUGGCAUCAUUCUUCAACACUACGAAUUCCAGUUGGAUCAAACUAACAUCACAUAAAUAAAAAUCAUAUACUCCCUCCGUUCCUAAAUAUAUGUCUUUCUAGAGAUUCCACUAUAGACUAUAUACGGAGCAAAAUGAGUGAAUCUAAACUCUAAAAAACGUCUAUAUACAUCCAUAUGUUGUUCGUAUUGAAAUCUCUAAAAAGACUUAUAUUUAAAAAACAGAGGGAGUAGUUAUUACGUAUCAGAAAUCAUGUUAAGCAAUAGAACAAUAGCAAAAAUCCAUGUUGAAAGUUACAACAGCAAGGGAACUUGAUACUUCAAGGCUAUACAUUGUUUGAUCAUGUAGAAUCUCAUACUCAUAUUAUACGACGGUGUAAUAGUUACAACAGCAAGGGGUGUGCUACUUCAAGGCUAUUCAUGGUCUGAUCAUAUAAAAUAUAGUAAUCAAGUUGUACAACGUCGUACCCCAGGUGGAGCAUAGGCAGAUGACGUUGAAAUCAUACUUUCUUUUUUGUGAAAAAUAAUAAUAUAUCUUCAAUGCAAUUGGAAGCGACACACAUUAGACGGAAAAUUGUAAGGAAAAGGGACAAUGAAAUCAAUAAGGAGUUAAGUGUUUCAUGAUUUUUAUUGAACACAUUGUAUAUUAAGUAAUUUUGCAAUAGAGAGCUAAAAAGAGGAUCUGAUCUUGAGAAAUAUUAGAGAAAAGAUAACAGAUAGUAAGUUCAAUUUGCAACUAAAUCAGCAGCAGUAUAGGUUAGUAUUAAGCAGCAGCAAAAUCAGCAGCAGUAGCACACAAUCAAUGUCAUGAAGGGCUGACCCGAAAGCCGCACUUUCCAUCGGCAAGCAUGCCAUUCAUGUGUGCAAAUAUGUAAAAAUGACUUCAGAUUUCCAUGUACCAUGUAACAGUCCAUCAAUGUGACAAUAUAAAGACAGCCAGCCAAGUGGUGGAUUGGUGGUGGUCACCAUAAUCAAGGCAGUAUGCCUGUAGAUAUAAUAGAAGAAAAAUACUUCAAUAUAUUAUCUGGGAAGCAGCAAAAUCCUUGAUACCUGAGAACAGUACAGGCAACGCUGCACUUGAUAGCUACAUUGGAGAGGAAGAGAACUUGGCUAGCUGGCUGCUGCCGCCGCAAGGCACAAAGAGGAGAUGAUGACAGGAACAGAUGGUUGGCGGCAGCGGCAAGAAGAGUCUCCCUCAAUUGCAUAUACUGGCGCAAAAAAGAAGGGGAAUUUAGAAAUUAACCAAGUAGAUGUUGUACCUGAACCUCAUGUAGGAUUUGGGGGAGGUUGUAGGCGAGCCAGGCAUCGAAGUCCACCCGUGACGACGCCGCUUCACGGAGAGGAUGCGGAGGAUCUCGGCCAGCGUGGGGCAGCCGGUGCAGAGUGUGGCCCGAUGGGCGCUGAUUUGGCAGCGGAGGACGUCGCGCGUUGCAUCGCAAAGCGGGGCGCAUGGGUGGAGGCCCGCGAGCAGGCAGAGGUGCGGCCGCGGCGGCGGGCGGGUUGAGGUCGGGCGCGGUGGCGAGUGGUGCGGCGGCGGCCGGGGGGAUUUGGCUCGGCCUGGCCAGGGUCGAGGUGAGGAGCCAGAU
RNAcentral lists this long non-coding RNA (2646 nucleotides) under Triticum aestivum (bread wheat). RNAcentral's name for it is "long non-coding RNA (TAES_LNC001489)". Lineage: Eukaryota; Viridiplantae; Streptophyta; Magnoliopsida; Poales; Poaceae. The record is from RNAcentral.